GGCCUCGUGGCCCAAUGGCAAGGCGUCUGACUACGAUGGUGAUCCAUAAAUCAUUCAAAGAUAAUCAGGAGAUUCUGGGUUCGACCCCCAGCGAGGUCA
Molecule: non-coding RNA, 99 nt
Organism: Xylaria cubensis
Lineage: Eukaryota; Fungi; Ascomycota; Sordariomycetes; Xylariales; Xylariaceae
Source: the annotation of a GenBank genome assembly